UACAGAGGGUGCGAGCGUUGUUCGGAAUUACUGGGCGUAAAGCGCGCGCAGGCGGCCCUUUAAGUCUACCCGUGAAAUGCCGGAGCUCAACUCCGUGCACGCCGGGGGAUACUGGGGGGCUGGAGACAGGUAGAGGCAAGCGGAAUUCCGGGUGUAGCGGUGGAAUGCGUAGAGAUCCGGAAGAACACCGGUGGCGAAGGCAAUCCCCUGGGCCUGCACUGACGCUCAUGCACGAAAGCGUGGGGAGCAAACAGG
Molecule: ribosomal RNA, 255 nt
Filed under: uncultured bacterium
Lineage: Bacteria
Description: partial 16S ribosomal RNA
Rfam family: Bacterial small subunit ribosomal RNA
Source: RNAcentral